CUGCCAAGAAAAGCCUCUAGCCAGGUGAUGGUGCCCGUACCGCAAACCGACACAGGUAGGCGAGAAGAGAAUUCUAAGGCGCGCGGAAGAACUCUCGUUAAGGAACUCGGCAAAAUGACCCCGUAACUUCGGGAGAAGGGGUGCCCCGGUAGUGUGAAUAGCACGAGGGGGCCGCAGUGAAAAGGCCCAAGCGACUGUUUAGCAAAAACACAGGUCUGUGCGAAGCCGUAAGGCGAAGUAUACGGGCUGACGCCUGCCCGGUGCUGGAAGGUUAAGGGGAGCGGUUAGGAGCAAUCCGAAGCUGUGAACCGAAGCCCCAGUAAACGGCGGCCGUAACUAUAACGGUCCUAAGGUAGCGAAAUUCCUUGUCAGGUAAAUUCUGACCCGCACGAAUGGCGUAACGACUUGGGCGCUGUCUCAACGAGAGAUCCGGUGAAAUUUUAAUACCUGUGAAGAUGCAGGUUACCCGCGACAAGACGGAAAGACCCCAUGGAGCUUUACUGCAGCUUGAUAUUGAAUUUGGGUACGAUCUGUACAGGAUAGGUGGGAGCCUUUGAAACGUGAGCGCCAGCUUGCGUGGAGGCACCGUUGGGAUACCACCCUGAUCGUAUCUAGGUUCUAACCUGGUACCGUAAUCCGGUGCGGGGACAGUGUCAGGUGGGCAGUUUGACUGGGGCGGUCGCCUCCUAAAGAGUAACGGAGGCGCCCAAAGGUUCCCUCAGAAUGGUUGGAAAUCAUUCGAAGAGUGCAAAGGCAUAAGGGAGCUUGACUGCGAGACCUACAAGUCGAGCAGGGACGAAAGUCGGGCUUAGUGAUCCGGUGGUACCGCAUGGAAGGGCCAUCGCUCAACGGAUAAAAGCUACCCUGGGGAUAACAGGCUUAUCUCCCCCAAGAGUCCACAUCGACGGGGAGGUUUGGCACCUCGAUGUCGGCUCAUCGCAUCCUGGGGCUGAAGUAGGUCCCAAGGGUUGGGCUGUUCGCCCAUUAAAGCGGUACGCGAGCUGGGUUCAGAACGUCGUGAGACAGUUCGGUCCCUAUCUGUCGUGGGCGUAGGAAAUUUGAGAGGAGCUGUCCUUAGUACGAGAGGACCGGGAUGGACGUACCGCUGGUGUACCAGUUGUUCCGCCAGGAGCACCGCUGGGUAGCUAUGUACGGAAGGGAUAAGCGCUGAAAGCAUCUAAGCGUGAAGCCCCCCUCAAGAUGAGAUUUCCCAGUAUGUAAGACCCCUUGAAGACGACGAGGUAGAUAGGCUGGGGGUGGAAGUGCAGCAAUGCAUGGAGCUGACCAGUACUAAUCGGUCGAGGGCUUAUCCAAG
This is a ribosomal RNA of 1315 nucleotides. It matches the Rfam family "Bacterial large subunit ribosomal RNA", at positions 1605 to 2925 of the family's 2925-position model.